RNAcentral lists this ribosomal RNA (445 nucleotides) under uncultured bacterium. Its description in RNAcentral is "partial 16S ribosomal RNA". It matches the Rfam family "Bacterial small subunit ribosomal RNA", at positions 354 to 796 of the family's 1533-position model. The record is from RNAcentral.
GUGAGGAAUAUUGGACAAUGGGCGCAAGCCUGAUCCAGCCAUGCCGCGUGCAGGAAGACGCAUCUAUGGUGUGUAAACUGCUUUUGUACGGGAAGAAACACUCCCUCGUGAGGGAGCUUGACGGUACCGUAAGAAUAAGGAACGGCUAACUCCGUGCCAGCAGCCGCGGUAAUACGGAGGAUCCAAGCGUUAUCCGGAAUCAUUGGGUUUAAAGGGUCCGUAGGCGGUUUAAUAAGUCAGUGGUGAAAGCCCAUCGCUCAACGAUGGAACGGCCAUUGAUACUGUUAGACUUGAAUUACAAGGAAGUAACUAGAAUAUGUAGUGUAGCGGUGAAAUGCUUAGAUAUUACAUGGAAUACCAAUUGCGAAGGCAGGUUACUACUUGUGGAUUGACGCUGAUGGACGAAAGCGUGGGGAGCGAACAGGAUUAGAUACCCUUGUAGUCC